AUGAACUAAAAAACAUAAUUUACUUUUCUGAUGGGUUAUUUCUGUGCAAUGGUUGAAAAUAGCAAUUUCCUCAGUAGUUUACGUAGCGUGUCACUCAUAUUCAUUGGUUGCCUGGAGGGAUCUUGGAGACAGUG
RNAcentral lists this small nucleolar RNA (134 nucleotides) under Octodon degus (degu). RNAcentral describes it as "Small nucleolar RNA SNORA70 (ENSODEG00000021691.1)". It matches the Rfam family "Small nucleolar RNA SNORA70". From Rfam's summary of the family: snoRNA U70 seems to be exclusive to mammals and is a member of the H/ACA class of snoRNA which contain H (ANANNA) and ACA box motifs. H/ACA box snoRNAs are involved in the conversion of uridines to pseudouridines (5-ribosyluracil) a constituent of structural RNAs (transfer, ribosomal, small nuclear, and small nucleolar). Lineage: Eukaryota; Metazoa; Chordata; Mammalia; Rodentia; Octodontidae. The record is from RNAcentral.